RNAcentral lists this long non-coding RNA (450 nucleotides) under Brassica napus (rape). Its description in RNAcentral is "long non-coding RNA (BNAP_LNC020203)". Lineage: Eukaryota; Viridiplantae; Streptophyta; Magnoliopsida; Brassicales; Brassicaceae. The record is from RNAcentral.
UAUCCAAUAGAUCGCGGAAAUAAGAAAGCUAACACACGAAAACCUAACAAGCCAAGAAGUUCAACCUAUCUAAUAGGAGUCCGAAGAUCUAGACAAGAGGCGAAAGAAAACGUUACCUGAAUUCGGGAUGCCGACAACGAAAGAGCAAGAAAUAAAGAAAAAAGAGGAACGGGAAAGCCUAUAAAGAAGAAGCCGUUGGGAAGAUUCCCAAGGAAGCCGCAAGCCUAUUAACUUCCAAAUUUCGGGGGAGAUUUGAAAUUCAAAAUCUUUUCCUUAUUGACAAAGUUGCGAUCUCAGCGGAUCUCCUCCAUUUAAGGGAAUAAAAUCUCCAAAGUCGGGCGAGAAUCCGCAUUAGUUAUCCCGGGCGCCAUAAAUGGAAACUUUAGGAGAUCCAGAACUCCAUCCGGAACCUCACCAUAAAAUUCACGCCAGCAUCAAGCCUGCUUCCAC